UGAAGUCUCAGUUGUGACCGGAGGCCAAACUGGAGUUAUUCUGUAGCUGGGCUGUAGGGAUCACCUUCAGCACCCUGGCGGGACUGGUCUUUGACUGGACGAUUGAGAAGGACACGCAGGCGGGCGGGUUCUCAGACUCCCACAGUGCCCUGCGGAAUAAAUCUUUGAAGUUAUGCUGGGGUAGAGGAUGGCCAGCUGCCCAGCAGCAUAGACUUGGAAAGGGGGCCUGUUUACCUGCUCUUCAAAUAUCUGAUCUGGCACCAUAUGACUUCUGGCUCUUCUUCAAAGUCAAAAUACAAUGACAAAUGUUUGGAAUGGAAUCAGAACAUCAAGGCAGCCCCGACUGUGCAACUAAAGACACUCACCAAAGAGGACCCCAGAACUGCUUCAGAAACUGGUUUGGAGGAUGCCAAAAAUCUUGUCAUCACCUUCCCAGAAACAAAAGUGCUGAGGGCCAAGGCCAUUGCUAGAGCCUGGAGUGUGUUGGGAACUGGCUGGCCCCAGGGCUGCCUGAAGAUCAUUUGGCUGCAUCUCUCUGCC
This 540-nucleotide long non-coding RNA is filed under the name Heterocephalus glaber (naked mole-rat). RNAcentral's name for it is "lncRNA (ENSHGLG00000029670.2)". Lineage: Eukaryota; Metazoa; Chordata; Mammalia; Rodentia; Bathyergidae. The record is from RNAcentral.